AGCAGCCGCGGUAAUUCCAGCUCCAAUAGCGUAUAUUAAAGUUGUUGCAGUUAAAAAGCUCGUAGUUGAAUUUCGGAAUCUGUCAGUUGGUCGGGCUUAAUUGUUCGCACUGACUUGAUGGAUUUCUACCUUCUGAAUAACCAGCAUGCUAUUAAGUUAGUGCGUUGGGGAAGCAGAUCUAUUACCUUGAAAAAAUUAGAGUGCUCAAAGCAAGCUAGUGCUUGAAUAGAUUAGCAUGGAAUAAUAAAAUAGGACGGCAUGGUUCUAUUUUGUUGGUUUCUAGGAUCACCGUAAUGAUUAAUAGGGAUAGUUGGGGGCAUUAGUAUUCAAUUGUCAGAGGUGAAAUUCUUGGAUUUAUUGAAGACUAACUUCUGCGAAAGCAUUUGCCAAGGAUGUUUU
This 399-nucleotide ribosomal RNA is filed under the name uncultured Glomeromycotina. RNAcentral's name for it is "SSU rRNA". It matches the Rfam family "Eukaryotic small subunit ribosomal RNA", at positions 569 to 970 of the family's 1831-position model. Lineage: Eukaryota; Fungi; Glomeromycota. The record is from RNAcentral.